RNAcentral lists this ribosomal RNA (450 nucleotides) under uncultured marine eukaryote. RNAcentral describes it as "SSU rRNA". It matches the Rfam family "Eukaryotic small subunit ribosomal RNA", at positions 612 to 1063 of the family's 1831-position model. The record is from RNAcentral.
GUUGUGGUUAAAAAGCUCGUAGUUGGAUCUCGGCGGACUGAGGGCGGUUUGCUUGCUAGUAUUACUGCCCUAUAGUCCGUAGUUUUGCCAGAGGUUUCGGGGUGCUCUUAAUCGAGUGUCCCGGGAUGCUGGCAGGUUUACUUUGAAAAAAUUAGAGUGCUCAAAGCAGGCUAUUACGCCUGAAUGUUCGUGCAUGGAAUAAUAGAAUAGGAAGUCGUUUCUAUUUUGUUGGUUUUCGGAAAUCGACUUAAUGAUUAAUAGGGACAGUCGGGGGCAUUUGUAUUCAAACGACAGAGGUGAAAUUCUUGGACCGUUUGAAGACAAACUACUGCGAAAGCAUUUGCCAAGAAUGUUUUCAUUAAUCAAGAACGAAAGUUAAAGGUUCGAAGGCGAUUAGAUACCGCCCUAGUUUUAACCAUAAACGAUGCCCAGCUAGCGAUCUGCGGACGU